RNAcentral lists this long non-coding RNA (333 nucleotides) under Elaeis guineensis (African oil palm). RNAcentral describes it as "long non-coding RNA (EGUI_LNC047660)". Lineage: Eukaryota; Viridiplantae; Streptophyta; Magnoliopsida; Arecales; Arecaceae. The record is from RNAcentral.
AGACGGACUUCCCAAGCAACCGGACCCCUAUCGGUCUUCACCAACAGAAAAUCUCCAUCCGAGCUUCUACAGCAGAUGACUUUCACCUGUAACAUCAGCACCUAAGGCAUCCGACAAUAGUGGACUCGUCAGCAGCCUCGAAAAUAUCCGAGCUUCUCCUAGAUCGGCAGUAUAGAGAGCCAUCCCUCUCCAUCAGACAUCCCAGCCGAGCUCCAGUCGAUAGAUCCGAACUCUCCGGCAAGUCACGAUAAUGGCACCACCCUGCUCCACUCUCUGCAAUAGAUUUCACAUGAUUCCAUUACUCUCUAGCAAGUCACGACAACGGACACCACU